GACAAACCGACCAGUCGGCUGCUGCUGGUCAACGUGCCAAGCGCGAUUUCCAUUUCAUCCCUUCCCCAUUUCACAAAAGUCGACAGUCGCUGGUGGGAGAGAGACGGAAUUCAACCGAGGAAAAUAAUAAGGGCAAUGGGUCAAUCACAUGAUCAAAAAAUGAACGGGUAAAUCUCCACUGGGAAUUGAACUGUAAAUAACGGGAGAAUUUCCAAGAGAAUAGAGAGAGGCUAAUAACCCUAACAACGUAUGAACACGUUGU
This is a long non-coding RNA of Daphnia pulicaria, 262 nucleotides long. RefSeq lists it as uncharacterized. NCBI's taxonomy places the organism in Eukaryota, Metazoa, Arthropoda, Branchiopoda, Diplostraca, Daphniidae. The record is from RefSeq and is a predicted model, not a curated record. The transcript has 2 exons.